RNAcentral lists this small nuclear RNA (341 nucleotides) under Ochotona princeps (American pika). Its description in RNAcentral is "7SK RNA (ENSOPRG00000020874.1)". The stretch from base 1 to 296 matches the Rfam family "7SK RNA". Rfam says of the family: 7SK was discovered as an abundant small nuclear RNA in the mid-70s but a possible function has only recently been suggested. The record is from RNAcentral. Lineage: Eukaryota; Metazoa; Chordata; Mammalia; Lagomorpha; Ochotonidae.
GGAUGUGAGGGAGAUCUGGCUGCAACAUCUGUCACCCCAUUGAUCGGCAGGAUUGAUUUGGCUGAUCUGGCUGGCCAGACAGGUAUCAUCUUCCUCCCUCACUGCUACAUGUGCGUCCUUCCCGAAGCUGUGUGCUCAGUCAAAGAGGACCACCAUCCCCCCCGCUAGAGGAGGAGGACUGGUUUUGGGUCAAGGGUAUAUGAGUAACUGUACUCCCCUGCUAGAACCUCCAAACAAGCUCUCAAGAUGCCCAAGUCUCACUUGGAAGUGCCUGGGUUAGAUACCAACUCAGGUCUGUUAACCCAAACCAGAGGAGGCAGUGGUGAUGGUUCAAGUGCUUG